AUGGCGCUGGUACCUCAGCCGCUGCUCUCUUUCUUCCUCGCCUCCCCAAACCUACCAAUCCUCCGACUCCUCCGCCGCCCCCUCAAAUCCUCCACCUCCAAAUGCUUCCUCCACCCCCAUCGUUUCCCACGGCGGCGCAACCAACCAGUCGCCCGCCUACCAGACGACGACGUGCGUGACGUGGAGGAAGACAUGCGGAGCUCUCCCGCCAGCUCCUCCGGUGCCCACCUCCUCGCCCCCCUGGAUGACGAAGAGGGCGGCGACGGAUGGUGUCCACCCAAUGGCGACGGCGCAGAGGAGGGAGAGCAGCUGAGCGAAUACGAGGCGUGUGAGUGGGACCCGCCUGUCGGCCCUUUCCGACCCCAGGCCCAGGAGCAUAAUCUCCAAGAGGAGGAUGACGAAGAUGAAGACGGCGGGGACUGCCCGUGGUGGGACCCGAGCUUCUUCUUGCCAAACCAAGAAGAGGCAAGCACAACCACCACCGCGGCAGUGGAAGAAAUUCUCGCCUUUGCAAGGAGCCCAGCGGCGGCCGACGGCUCCGGAUUCGCUGACUUCUUGGCUGGUUACAGCCGCAGAGCCCUCGGCGAGGACGAAUGCGUGGAAGUGAUGAGGAGGAUGGGUCAGGAAGGGCUGGCGUUGGGGUGCCUCCACUUCUUCCGGUGGAUGACGCGGAUGCUCGAGGAGCAGCCAAUGUCCUCGUCGCCGCAGGCAUGGUUGGUGGCUCUCGUGUUGCUUGGACGGGCGCGGAUGGCCGAUGAUGUCUUGGAGAUUCUGGGAAGUUUGCCGCUGGAGAGGGGAUUCCGGGAGGUGGUUCUGUACAACGCUGCAAUGUCCGGUGUUGCCUACUGUGGAAGAUGUGACGAUACCUGGAAAGUAUUUGAGUUAAUGGAGAAGAACAAUGUCCAACCUGACCACAUAACAUCCUCCAUCAUGUUAAUGGUAAUGAAGAAGCGCAAGGCAUCUGCUAAGGAUGCAUGGGAGUUCUUCCAGCGAAUGAACAGAAAAGGUGUCAAGUGGAGCUUAGAUGCCUCUGCCUCUCUAAUUAAGAUCUUUUGUGAUGAGGGGCUGAAAAAGGAAGCUCUUAUCUUCCAGUUAGAAAUGGAGAAGAGAGGAAUCCCAUCAAACACGAGCAUUUAUAACAUGAUAAUGAAUGCAUAUUGCAAAUGCAGUCAAAUUGAAGAAGCCGAGGGACUCUUUGUUGAGAUGAAAGAGAAAGGGUUAAAACCAACAACCCUGACCUAUAAUAUCCUUAUGGAUGCCUACAGCAGAAGAUUGCAGCCAGAAGUUGUUGAAUCAUUACUUCUGGAGAUGCACAAUUUAGGACUAGUGCGAAAUGCUAGGUCAUACAACUGUCUCAUAAGUGCUUAUGGGCAGCAGAAAAAAAUGAGUGAAAAGGGUGAAGAUGCUUUCCUGAGGAUGAAGGCGGAUGGCAUUAAGCCUACAUCUUCUUCGUAUACUUCACUGCUUCGUGCAUAUGCAGUUAAUGGGCAGGAUGAAAAAGCUCAUACGACAUAUACAGAUAUGAGAAGAGAAGGACUUAAGCCUUCCUUAGAAACAUAUACAGCUUUACUUGACAUAUUUAGGAGGGCUGGUGACACAGAGAAGUUAAUGGAUACAUGGAAAUCAAUGAUUGAUGAAAAGGCUGGAGGCACUAGAGUCACAUAUCACAUGGUACUUGAUGGUUUGGCGAAGCAUGGGUUGUAUGUUCAGGCAAGAGAUGUAAUAUCCGAGUUCGGAGAAAUUGGUUUACCUCCUACAACUAUGACUUACAACAUUUUGAUGAAUGCUUAUGCAAAGGGAGGACAGCAUUACAAAUUGCCGCAGCUCCUGAAAGAGAUGUCUAUUCUGGAACUAAAACCAGAUUCAGUUACAUAUUCUACAAUGAUAUAUGCAUAUGUUCGUGUCCGUGACUUUUCGAGAGCAUUCUAUUACCACAAGCAGAUGGUUCGAAGUGGGCAAGUACCUGAUGCUAAGUCAUACAGAAAGCUGUUGAAUACGUUGGAUGUGAAAUCUGCAAGGAAAAGCAUAAAGAAUAGAAGUACCAUUGUGGGAGUUAUAAAGGGCAAAUCUUCCUUAAAGCAUAGGAAGGAAAAGAAGGAUGAAUUUUGGAAGAACAGUAAAAAGCGGUCUAUGACCCAAGUCAUUGGGUACCAGCGAAAAAGAUUCUUGUGAUGCCCUAGUUAAGUGGAUAGAUACUCAUCCCCUAUGUUAUAUCAUGGUCCCCAUGCUUAAAUGCUCUUGAACUCUUCAGGUCAGAAAUUACAGGUUUGCCGUGUUACUAAUUCCAUAAGCGUUCAAAUUGAUUGCCUGGUUGAUCUUGAUCUGAAUAGAUUUGAUUUUUCAUUUUAAGUUGCUUGGCCUUGAACACAAUUCAUUUAAAUGAGCUUCAUCUGUUCGUCACUUUUGUCAAGAGAGUCGAGACUUUAACUCUUCUUAUAGACUUUCUAAUGCUCUAACAAGAAUCUGAUGAGGUGAAAAGAUGCCAUUUGGAUCAUAUGAACCGAUGGAUUUUUUUGGAAAUUAGAGGGAAAACCCCCAGUUCCAUCUGUUAGAAAUGAAAAUAAUACCUUUAUUCAAGCAUAUAUUAAGAGCAUUAAACCAUCCACAGGCCAAUGAAAAGAUGAAUGAUAUUAAUGUGAAUGGGAAGGUUAUUGUUGUUGGAAAGUAACACACAUCAUUUAAGUAACAUACAACAUCAGUUUAUUGGCCUAAAUCAUUUAGUUAUAAUCUACAAUAAAAAUCUAUGUUUCGAUUUUCUGCUAGGAUGCUCAGCAGUUUGACAUUUGCGAGACCCAUGAACACUUGAUGCAUAUAGCUUAUAGACUGUAAAAAGAGGAAUUCCUGAAGUAUGAAAUAUUGAUCAUAGCAUUGGUUCAUCAUAACAAUAGCCAAUAACCAGUUGGGCAAGCCAAUUAUUUAAUUCUCAAGUUCAGACCAGAAUUUCAUAAACUUUUUCUACACGAGAAGUGAAUAAAACUGUUCCUUUUUUCAAAAUAAUUUACACCAGUCUUUUAAGUUCUCCUGGGAGCUGCCACUGGUUUUGGCAAUGCUGAUCAUGUUCUUUCUGUAUACUUGCUGUUGCUCCUAUGGUAUAGUUUUAAUACUUAGUACUAGUACAAUAUUUAGCACAAGCAUGCUCUGUUUUCUGAUCCUUAUGAAUUGGUAAAAGUUAAGAUUCAGUUUUCUUGUGUGAUCAUGAUUGUACCAUUUAUAUUUCCAAUAUCAGUAUCGCUGCCAAGGAUGUCUUUUGGGUCAAACCUUUCGUUACAGGUCUAGGCCAGCACAGUCUGAACCACUUGUGCCAGUCGGCUUGGUCUUCUGAUCUGACUGGAACUCCUAGUCCUAGUUCCUAUCAAUCGAAUCGAUCGCAUUUGUAGGUCCAUGUCCAGCUUAAAAUAUUACGCAUGAAAGAUUUUAAAGGUGCGUGUCAUCUGUGGACCUGCAUUUGAGAAAUAUCCAAACUAGAACAAGUUCUUCACCAAGAGGCUGUAGUGUUAAAUAAUGGCAGUUCAAGAGUUGCAAUUACAAGCAUUCCUUACCAUGAAGUUAAAACAUACUGUCGUUUUGGAUCUGAUAUUCCAAGACAUGGUUGGCCAGUUACCUCAUAUGCAAGAUUCUUAUUUUAUUUGGAAGUCUCUGACCUUCGGUACUCAUCUGACUAGUUAGACUGAAGCUAACGGUAUCAGAAAGUGUGAGGUGGUUGGCAAAUUAGAGGAUUGUAGAAAUAAAAAAUGAAAUACUCUGUUUUUUCGCAACUUAUUGGCAACAUAUUACGAUUA
This is an RNA transcript of Lolium rigidum, 3779 nucleotides long. It is a transcript of the gene named pentatricopeptide repeat-containing protein At5g50280, chloroplastic-like, with no coding region annotated. The transcript is spliced from 3 exons. NCBI's taxonomy places the organism in Eukaryota, Viridiplantae, Streptophyta, Magnoliopsida, Poales, Poaceae. The record is from RefSeq and is a predicted model, not a curated record.